Long non-coding RNA from Sinocyclocheilus rhinocerous, 233 nucleotides. RefSeq lists it as uncharacterized. Lineage: Eukaryota; Metazoa; Chordata; Actinopteri; Cypriniformes; Cyprinidae. The transcript is spliced from 3 exons. The record is from RefSeq and is a predicted model, not a curated record.
AGGUGGUGAAUGUCACCUAUGAGAAAAUCACGGCAACCUCCUAUGCUGUCAUCUUUAAGUUUAAUUUGAGUAAUAUUAGCAUGUCAAAAGAUCCUGAGCUAAGAAAUGGCACAUACCUACAAGCUCAGGGUGUCGUCAAUAAUGCGCUGAACAGUCUUCUGAAUGAACCUGGCAGAACAACUUUAAAUCCCAAGUCGACCAACUUCAUGUAAGAUGCAAACAGACUUAAUGUA